UCCCUCGAGCCGGAUUUGAACCAGCGACAUACGGAUCACCGUUGUAACAUCUACAGUCCUCCGCUCUGCCAACUGAGCUAUCGAGGG
Molecule: transfer RNA, 87 nt
Filed under: Cordylochernes scorpioides
Lineage: Eukaryota; Metazoa; Arthropoda; Arachnida; Pseudoscorpiones; Chernetidae
Description: tRNA-Tyr
Source: RNAcentral